RNAcentral lists this ribosomal RNA (253 nucleotides) under uncultured bacterium. RNAcentral describes it as "partial 16S ribosomal RNA". It matches the Rfam family "Bacterial small subunit ribosomal RNA", at positions 524 to 776 of the family's 1533-position model. The record is from RNAcentral.
UACGUAGGGGGCAAGCGUUGUCCGGAAUCAUUGGGCGUAAAGCGCGCGUAGGCGGCCCGGUAAGUCCGUUGUGAAAGUCAAAGGCUCAACCUUUGAAUGCCGAUGGAUACUGCCGGGCUGGAGUCCGGAAGAGGCGAGUGGAAUUCCUGGUGUAGCGGUGGAAUGCGCAGAUAUCAGGAGGAACACCGGUGGCGAAGGCGACCAUCUGGACGGAUACUGACGCUGAGACGCGAAAGCGUGGGGAGCAAACAGG